CAAGUGACCCCGGUCUAACCACCGGGAUGUUCAUAACCCUUUGUUGUCCGACUCUGUUGCCUCCGGGGCGACCCUGCCUUCGGGCGGGGGCUCCGGGUGGACACUUCAAACUCUAGCGUAACUUUGCAGUCUGAGUAAACUUAAUUAAUAAAUUA
RNAcentral lists this unclassified non-coding RNA (155 nucleotides) under soil metagenome. RNAcentral describes it as "partial internal transcribed spacer 1". The record is from RNAcentral.